AUAAAAUGUUAGUAAUCAGUUUAUCAACUAUUAAUUAACGGUAUAUCAAAUUUUGAUAGAUUCGAAAAGAUAUAGUCCACAUUAAGGAAAAAAAUGAUUAUGUAUAGUAAUAUAUAGUUAUAAUAGUGUGGAAUUAUAUUAUAUUACAUCGUAUAAAUUACGACUAUAAAACGUAGCUGAUAAAAAUCCAUGUAUAAUGUAUAAAUUUAAUUAUAUUAAGUUGAUAUAUCUUUAUUUAUAAUUCGAUGUCGAUGUCCCGUUUGAUUAUUUGUUCUAUUCGUUCAUCUGACUGUCAAUUGCCAUAACCUCAAAGAUGAAAAUGAGAGAAUGAAAGGAGUACUGUCAACGGCAAUACGUGAUGCAUGUAUUCUAAUUGCUGAUGGACCUGAUGCACUAGAAUAUUGUCUAGUUGUUUAAUGUCGUCAUUGGCUACUAAAUAAAAAAGACAUUUCCUUGGUCUUUGAGUACCAGCAACAUGACACUUUUCGAGCAGAGAUCUGGCACAAGAUAUUACGUUAGUAUCUCCAACUAAUUUCUGCUCCAAGAUCAGCCCACGAAACUGUAUCAACAUGUCUUAAGCAAGAUGUUUUCAAUAUUCUUGCAGAAUUUUUAAACUACAAUAUAACACUAAGUUCUUUUUAUAAGUCGUACACAAGACUUGUAAUGUGAAACUUUAUAUCUGUGUCUGCAGCAAUAUUCAUAGUAAUAUAAAGAAGUCGACAGCCAGUGUACUGGUGACCAGGUUCGGGCAAGAUUGCUAGAAGAUUGUCUUGUGUACGUUAUCUUGGGUGUCCAUGUGGUAUCUAUUAAAAAAUUAUUGUGAUCAGUAUCAAUCAGCAACUUGUGACAGGAAACUUUGUUGCCGGUGGUUCUACUGAAAAUUUUUAUUUUUCAUCUUAAUGCUGGUGACUUAUAAUUUUAAAAAAUAAAUAUCCAUUAUUUUUAAAAUUGAUGAGUGGGGCAGUAGAAGAGUACAGCGAUUUAUUAUUUUUAAUCUUCUCAGCUGAUGCUAGAGCAUUAAACUAUUGAGAUAAUUAUCUCAAAAAGAAAAUACAGAUUUUUAUAAGAUAUCGACUGGAAUCAUUUUACAAUAUACAUUUUAUUAAUUUAAAAUUAAUUUGGAUACUUGAGUUAAAUAUUAUAACAGGGUUAAAUAUUAUCUAGACAAAAAAUAUUAACGUGAGACAAGAGCACACUAAUCAUUGAUUCGAUAGAGAACGAGGUUGAAAUUUAAAUUAUUUUUCCUAUAUUAGCAUAGCAACUAUUACUAUGUAGACAUUAGAACUUUUCCUAUAUCAACAUAGAGAAAUUCUUUAUAGAAAUAUAUGAAAGAAUAUUAUGUUACACGGAGAAAAAUGGAAACAAAAAAUGUACGAAUUUUUAUUAUGCUGUCAACCAAACUUUAAACAGGAAGUUGUGGCGUCAAAAAAUUAUUAUGCUGCACUAUAAUUAUUAUUGUGAGACUCUAAAAAUUUUUUAUCUUCUACUAUAAUUCCCAAUUUAUAAAAAUAAUAUUAAUUAUAUAUAAUUUGUCAAUAAUUUUUAAGUGUAUAAUAUUUUUUGUAGUGUGACAUAACAAUUGUUUGGCAACUCAACUACCUGUUUCAAGUAUAACAAAAAUUCGUAGAUUUCGUAGGUCCAUUUAUCUCCGUUUACAUGAGAAUUUUUCCUAUAAUAAAUAGAAAAUAAGAAUAAAUAGAAUAGUUAACACUAAAAUUUUUCCGAUUUCAAACAUAGGAAUUAUUGCUAUGUUAACAUAGGAAAAAUUCUUAUGUAAAAAAAAGUUAUAAAAGAAUAAGAUUUUCUUUUUAUUUUCUAUAUAGUUGAGGCAAUUGUAUUUUUUAGUAACAAAAUAGCUAAACAAAAAUACGUAUACGAGAUAGAUUAUGGAUGAGACAAAUCAUGUACUUUUAGAUUACUGAAAUAAUCGGUAAUAUGGUGAUCAAACCUAUUACUAUUAGCCUAUGUUAUCCCUGGCGGUUUUGAAUCACCCUGGAAACAGCCUGGAAACAUCCUGGGAGUGGAAACACGGUGCAAUCACGGUGGAUCCAGGGUGGUAACACGGUGGGUUUGUGCCAUUUUAUCACCGUGUAUACACCGUGGAAUCAGGGUGGGUACACCGUGUAACCACCCCGGAAUCAGGGUGGGUACAUCGUGUAACCACCGUGAUUCCACCCUGAUUCCAGGGUGAUUCAAAACCGCCAGGGACAAGGGAAUUAUUUCUAUGGUAAAAUUUAAAUUUGCCUAUGUUACAUAGUAAAAAUUAUUAUGCUAACAAAGGAAAUAUUGCUAUGUAACAUAGAAAAAUUAUGUACUUAUUUUUUUUCUCUGUGUAUUUUACAAACUAUUUUAUCGAAAUUUUCAAGUGUUCAAAACUGGCCCCAAAGUGGCUAAAAACAGUAAAUUUACGUUAUGAACCAUUACCAUAUAUAACUUCAAUAAUUCAGAUACACAUUAAAUAAAAUUUAAUCUCAACUUGUAAAUUUUUAAAACACAAAUUUUUUUAAAAUUCAUUAUUUCAAUUAACUUUAUAAGAUAUCAGAAUCUCAUAAAUUUAUAGUAGACCGUAUUGAUAAAUUGAAUAUAGAAACGAAAUAGAAAAUUUAAAAGAUGGUUAGUCUUAAAGGUCUCAUCAUUUACAAGUCGUUAAUUUUAACGGAAACGUGUAAAUUUUAUCAAUACCUUUUUUUAUUUUUUUUUUUUUUUCUUUAAUAAUUAAUUUCAAAUUUUAUAAAAAUACGAUAAAAUUUACAGUACAUAGUAACUCUGUAUUAACCCUUUCCCGAAAGUUUGAAUCGUGUGAGUAACAGUUUAAUCGUAGUAGUGCAUGCAUGCGUCCCCUUCUACUAUUUUUUCUGCCCCUUCUCUUCUCAACAGGCUGACGCUCUCUCGCUUUAAGACGAAGACGUACGAUUCAAAUUGAGAGUAGGGACUCAAGGUCAACCGGGAAAGGGUUAAAUUUACAUUAUCUGUAAAAAAAAUCAUCAUGAAUUUUUUUUGACACUAAUCUUCACAUCUUUGAUCCUGUGACAACAUUAUUCCGAAAUUAAGUAAAAUAACUAUAUGAAUAAUUUUUUUACUCUUUAUGAAGACACUGGAAAGGUUGGGGCUUCUCUGUGGCCAGAAGCUCUGAGGUUCUUAUACCUGCUAGUAUAGUCAGUCAUGACCAUUCUUCAACAUCAUUUUAAAUAUCUGAUAUAUUUUCCCUCUCAACAUAAAACUAUAAAUUCUACCUGAGGCAAACGUAAAUCCGACAACGCCGCAGUGAACUCAAUGAUUCAUUAAAUCUCUUCUUACUGACAAAUAAACUCCAGCGUUGCCACUUUUUCCUUUGCCAGAUGUUCAAGUGACAAACUGAUUGUAAGCUAUUUAAAUUAUCUACUUUUAAAAAACCUCAAGGAACUUUAUCGAAACAUUUAUUUAAUUUAAAUUUUAUUAAUUUACUAAAUUUAUUUGUUUAGAUUCUAAGACCCAGAGAAAAUAUUAUUUUUAGCGGAAAUCAAAAAAAUUUUUUUUAAAUAUUUAAAACAAAUUACUUACUAUUUUUUUUAUUAUUAUUUCGUUCAUGUCUCUU
Molecule: long non-coding RNA, 3574 nt
Organism: Microplitis mediator
Lineage: Eukaryota; Metazoa; Arthropoda; Insecta; Hymenoptera; Braconidae
Exons: 4
Source: RefSeq, a predicted model, not a curated record